AACCAAACUAAUCAACCAUGGUUGUGGAAAUGGACCGAAAACCACAACUGACAUUGAAAACCAAUAUCCCUUCUUUUUAAGUUUAAAUAUGGACUCAUGGUCCAUUUUACUUAAUAAAAAUGGGCUCUUAAAUUGAUCCACACAUAAAUAUACCAAAAAAAGAGUUGGUCGGCCCUGAAGUGGUAAGACUAGGUGAGUAUAAAAGAACCCUAAAUGAUAGAGUUUUCUGAUUAAUGCUCUCUGCCUCUUCUCCUCAUUGUUCUCAUCGCCUCUACAGAGAUAUUGUCUCUUGUGCCCCACAACUGUAGCUUCUUCCCCUUUUGGUUAUGCGGGAUUAACAGAUUCCACCUUGAUCUUGUCGCUGUGGAGAUCAACUUUCAAAGGUGUACUACAAGUUAUUAAGUAUUGGAAAAAAUGGUGGAGAUGGAAUAAAAUUGAUGUUGAGAUUUUAUAUGCAAAAUUCAACUGAUUCAGAAUUGAGGUGUACUACAAAUUAUUAAGUAUUGGAAAAAAUGGCGGAGAUGGAAUAAAAUUGAUGUUGGGAUUUUAUAUAGAAUAUUCAAAUAAUUCGGGAUUGAGGAUCCAAAAUAGAGUAGAAAAUCCUACAAUUAUC
Molecule: long non-coding RNA, 613 nt
Organism: Solanum pennellii
Lineage: Eukaryota; Viridiplantae; Streptophyta; Magnoliopsida; Solanales; Solanaceae
Exons: 4
Source: RefSeq, a predicted model, not a curated record